This 373-nucleotide ribosomal RNA is filed under the name uncultured bacterium. Its description in RNAcentral is "bacterial SSU rRNA". It matches the Rfam family "Bacterial small subunit ribosomal RNA", at positions 521 to 896 of the family's 1533-position model. The record is from RNAcentral.
UAAUACGGAGGGUGCAAGCGUUAUCCGGAUUCAUUGGGUUUAAAGGGUGCGUAGGCGGGGCGAUAAGUCAGUGGUGAAAUCCUGCAGCCUAACUGUAGAACUGCCAUUGAUACUGUCGUCCUUGAGUGCGCUCGACGUGGGCGGAAUGUGCCGUGUAGCGGUGAAAUGCUUAGAUAUGGCACAGAACACCGAUAGUGAAGACAGCUCACGAGGGCGAAACUGACGCUGAGGCACGAAAGCGUGGGGAUCGAACAGGAUUAGAUACCCUGGUAGUCCACGCCGUAAACGAUGAUCACUCGUGAUUGGCGAUACACGGUCAGUCACCUAGCGAAAGCGUUAAGUGAUCCACCUGGGGAGUACGAUCGCAAGAUUG